GUAUUAGCUAGUUGGUGAGGUAACGGCUCACCAAGGCAACGAUACGUAGCCGACCUGAGAGGGUGAUCGGCCACACUGGAACUGAGACACGGUCCAGACUCCUACGGGAGGCAGCAGUAGGGAAUCUGCCGCAAUGGGCGAAAGCCUGACGGAGCAACGCCGCGUGAGUGAUGAAGGUCUUCGGAUCGUAAAGCUCUGUUGUUAGGGAAGAACAAAUGUGUAAGUAACU
Molecule: ribosomal RNA, 229 nt
Filed under: Staphylococcus chromogenes
Lineage: Bacteria; Bacillati; Bacillota; Bacilli; Caryophanales; Staphylococcaceae
Description: partial 16S ribosomal RNA
Rfam family: Bacterial small subunit ribosomal RNA
Source: RNAcentral